Molecule: ribosomal RNA, 376 nt
Filed under: uncultured organism
Description: partial 16S ribosomal RNA
Rfam family: Bacterial small subunit ribosomal RNA
Source: RNAcentral
GUAGGUGGCAAGCGUUGUUCGGGAAUUAUUGGGGCGUAAAGCGCGCGCAGGCGGUUCUUUAAGUCUGAUGUGAAAGCCCACGGGCUCAACCGUGGAGGGUCAUUGGAAACUGGAGAACUUGAGUACAGAAGAGGAAAGCGGAAUUCCACGUGUAGCGGUGAAAUGCGUAGAGAUGUGGAGGAACACCAGUGGCGAAGGCGGCUUUCUGGUCUGUAACUGACGCUGAGGCGCGAAAGCGUGGGGAGCAAACAGGAUUAGAUACCCUGGUAGUCCACGCCGUAAACGAUGAGUGCUAAGUGUUAGGGGGUUUCCGCCCCUUAGUGCUGCAGCUAACGCAUUAAGCACUCCGCCUGGGGAGUACGGCCGCAAAGGCUGA